RNAcentral lists this long non-coding RNA (348 nucleotides) under Fukomys damarensis (Damara mole-rat). RNAcentral's name for it is "lncRNA (ENSFDAG00000032145.1)". Lineage: Eukaryota; Metazoa; Chordata; Mammalia; Rodentia; Bathyergidae. The record is from RNAcentral.
AAAAGAAUUUCUCAUUGUAUGCGGUGGGGAAGGGCAACGAGAGGAAAGCGCUGGGAAAUGAUUGAGUGACAUUUCUAUUUGCCAGUUUGACUUCUCCACCAGUGGAGGCCGUGGUUUGGGGCUGCCAGAGAACUUCAGCUUCCUGGUGUGGACUAGAAAUGCCAGACCCCUGGAAACAAAUAAAUGGGAAGAAGAAAAUGCGAGGAGCAAGAAAUGGAUUUGAAGAGUCAGUGUGACCUCAAGUUUAUAUUGCUGGUAACAGAGAAGUGUAAGAGUACCUUGUGCUCCCAUGAUUUGCGUUGGUCCUGGUGAAUUUCCCAGCGUCAGCCUUGGGUGGAGAGCUGCCAG